Molecule: non-coding RNA, 411 nt
Filed under: Liquorilactobacillus vini DSM 20605
Lineage: Bacteria; Bacillati; Bacillota; Bacilli; Lactobacillales; Lactobacillaceae
Source: Rfam by way of RNAcentral
AUACUCAAAUUGUAUUUUUGUAUGGGUUACCGUGGUUAGAUUGUUUCAAAUAACUUUCCCCAUUUGUGCCGAUCAAGAAUUACAAUUUUAUUAAUAUUUAGAAGUGCCCAAGCGGCACAAGGAGGAUUUUUAUUAUGGAACAAGGUACUGUUAAAUGGUUUAACGCAGACAAAGGUUUUGGCUUUAUCACUCGUGAAGAUGGCAGCGAUGUAUUCGUACAUUUCUCAGCUAUCCAAGGUGAUGGCUUCAAGACUUUGGAUGAAGGUCAGCAUGUAACUUUUGAUGUUGAACAAAGCGAUCGUGGACCACAAGCUGUUAACGUUGUAAAAGAUUAAUUAUUAAGCUUAUUUUUAAAGUUAUUAAAUAAUUAAAAACGUGUUCCGGAGCAGGAGUCAACUCUUGCUCCGGUUU